AGUGAACGCUGGCGGUAGGCCUAACACAUGCAAGUCGAACGGCAGCACAGUAAGAGCUUGCUCUUACGGGUGGCGAGUGGCGGACGGGUGAGGAAUACAUCGGAAUCUACUUUUUCGUGGGGGAUAACGUAGGGAAACUUACGCUAAUACCGCAUACGACCUACGGGUGAAAGCAGGGGGUCUUCGGACCUUGCGCGAUUGAAUGAGCCGAUGUCGGAUUAGCUAGUUGGCGGGGUAAAGGCCCACCAAGGCGACGAUCCGUAGCUGGUCUGAGAGGAUGAUCAGCCACACUGGAACUGAGACACGGUCCAGACUCCUACGGGAGGCAGUAGUGGGGAAUAUUGGACAAUGGGCGCAAGCCUGAUCCAGCCAUACCGCGUGGGUGAAGAAGGCCUUCAGGUUGUAAAGCCCUUUUGUUGGGAAAGAAAAGCAGCAGGUUAAUACCCCGCUGUUCUGACGGUACCCAAAGAAUAAGCACCGGCUAACUUCGUG
RNAcentral lists this ribosomal RNA (492 nucleotides) under uncultured bacterium. RNAcentral describes it as "partial 16S ribosomal RNA". It matches the Rfam family "Bacterial small subunit ribosomal RNA", at positions 29 to 507 of the family's 1533-position model. The record is from RNAcentral.